AACUCCCGGUAAUCGGGGCUAAUGCCGGAUAACAUGUUGAACCGCAUGGUUCUACACUGAAAGGCGGCUUUGCUGUCACUUAUACAUGGACCCGCUCCGUAUUAGCUAGUUGGUGAGGUAACGGCUCACCAAAUCGACGAUACGUACCAGACCUGAGAGGGUGAUCGGCAACACUGGAACUGACACACGGUCCAGACUCCUACGGGAGGCAGCACUAGGGAAUCUUCCGCGAUGGCCUAAAGCCUGACGGAGCAUCGCCGCGUGAGUGAUGAAGGUCUUCAGAUCGUAAAACUCUGUUAUUAGGGCAGAACAACUGCGUAAGUAACUGUGCGCGUCUUGACGGUACCUAAUCACAAAGCCACGGCUAACUACGUGCCAUCAGCAGCGGUAAUACGUAGGUGGCAAGCGUUAUCCGUAAUUAUUGGGCGUAAAUCUCGCGUAUACGGUUUUUUAAGUCUGAUGUGAAAGCCCACGGCUCAACCUUGGAGCGUCAUUGGAAACUGAGAAACUUGAGUGCAGAAGAGGAAAUUGGAAUUCCAUGUGUAGCUGUGAAAUGCGCAGAAAUAUGCAUGAACACUACUGGCGACUGCUACUUUCUGGUCUGUAAUUGACACUGAUGUGCAAACGCGUGGGGAUCAACCAGGAUUAGAU
Molecule: ribosomal RNA, 651 nt
Filed under: uncultured Staphylococcus sp.
Lineage: Bacteria; Bacillati; Bacillota; Bacilli; Caryophanales; Staphylococcaceae
Description: bacterial SSU rRNA
Rfam family: Bacterial small subunit ribosomal RNA
Source: RNAcentral